RNAcentral lists this transfer RNA (86 nucleotides) under Ruminococcus flavefaciens. Its description in RNAcentral is "tRNA_Tyr_GTA". It matches the Rfam family "tRNA". Rfam says of the family: Transfer RNA (tRNA) molecules are approximately 80 nucleotides in length. Their secondary structure includes four short double-helical elements and three loops (D, anti-codon, and T loops). Further hydrogen bonds mediate the characteristic L-shaped molecular structure. tRNAs have two regions of fundamental functional importance: the anti-codon, which is responsible for specific mRNA codon recognition, and the 3' end, to which the tRNAs corresponding amino acid is attached (by aminoacyl-tRNA synthetases). tRNAs cope with the degeneracy of the genetic code in two manners: having more than one tRNA (with a specific anti-codon) for a particular amino acid; and 'wobble' base-pairing, i.e. permitting non-standard base-pairing at the 3rd anti-codon position. RNAcentral also lists the same sequence under 2 other names. The record is from RNAcentral. Lineage: Bacteria; Bacillati; Bacillota; Clostridia; Eubacteriales; Oscillospiraceae.
GGGCAAGUGUGCAUAGUGGCGAUUGCAGCGGACUGUAAAUCCGUGACUUUGAUACACCGUAGGUUCGACUCCUACCUUGCCCACCA